Long non-coding RNA from Corythoichthys intestinalis (scribbled pipefish), 458 nucleotides. RefSeq lists it as uncharacterized. The transcript is spliced from 3 exons. NCBI's taxonomy places the organism in Eukaryota, Metazoa, Chordata, Actinopteri, Syngnathiformes, Syngnathidae. The record is from RefSeq and is a predicted model, not a curated record.
CAACACUCUCAUAGGGAUCCAUUAUACGAUUUUACUUCUGGGUACUUUGGGUAGUUCCAAACAUCGCUUCGACGAGGGCAGACCACAUUCAUACGAACGGCUGGCUGUAAAGUACAGUAUAUUCGGAGAGGCCCUUUGUGAUGUACACACUCAUCUGUAUUUGUUACAUUUUCAGGAUCCACAUCAUGCUGCUGGUGGUGCCUGCUGAUGGUGACUGCUGGCUAUGGGCAUUAAGCCCGUUUUUAAAUAGCAACAAACAAACAAAAAAGCCUUUUAUUUCAUGUUUUGACGACUGACCAUUGCCAUCCAUUUUUUUUGUGCUGGUCUUGGUCCUUGAGGAAACCAUGCUGCACAACCAGCCAUCACAGGCCACUGAUCUAUAAUCUUUAGUUAAGUUAUGCGAAAAAAUGUGUUAAAUGUCAUUUCUUUGUCAUUUAGGUCAAACUAAGUUUAUUAAA